GAUGAACGCUGGCGGCGUGCCUAAUACAUGCAAGUCGAGCGAACGGACGAGAAGCUUGCUUUUCUGAUGUUAGCGGCGGACGGGUGAGUAACACGUGGAUAACCUACCUAUAAGACUGGGAUAACUUCGGGAAACCGGAGCUAAUACCGGAUAAUAUUUUGAACCGCAUGGUUCAAAAGUGAAAGACGGUCUUGCUGCCACUUAUAGAUGGAUCCGCGCUGCAUUGGCUAGUUGGUAAGGUAACGGCUUACCAAGGCAACGAUGCAUAGCCGACCUGAGAGGGUGAUCGGCCACACUGGAACUGAGACACGGUCCAGACUCCUACGGGAGGCAGCAGUAGGGAAUCUUCCGCAAUGGGCGAAAGCCUGACGGAGCAACGCCGCGUGAGUGAUGAAGGUCUUCGGAUCGUAAAACUCUGUUAUUAGGGAAGAACAUAUGUGUAAGUAACUGUGCACAUCUUGACGGUACCUAAUCAGAAAGCCACGGCUAACUACGUG
Molecule: ribosomal RNA, 497 nt
Filed under: uncultured bacterium
Lineage: Bacteria
Description: partial 16S ribosomal RNA
Rfam family: Bacterial small subunit ribosomal RNA
Source: RNAcentral